CAAGAAUGCAUCCAAAGGGAUCGCAUUGAUCCAUUCUUCCUCAGUGGUAAGAAAGGAUCAUGCGAUCCUUUAGGAUGUCUACUC
Molecule: microRNA precursor, 84 nt
Filed under: Triticum aestivum (bread wheat)
Lineage: Eukaryota; Viridiplantae; Streptophyta; Magnoliopsida; Poales; Poaceae
Description: mir-393 microRNA precursor family
Rfam family: mir-393 microRNA precursor family
Source: Rfam by way of RNAcentral